AAAGCUAAGCGGAGUCACUUUGCUGCUGUUGCUGUGUCAACAUGCAUGUUUCCUCUCUGCAACUGGCAUUGCAAAAAAAUCAGUGACCUGUGAAGGAGGAUCUGCGUCCCUCAGUUGUCGUGAGUAGUUUCUCACAUAC
Molecule: long non-coding RNA, 139 nt
Organism: Cyprinus carpio (common carp)
Lineage: Eukaryota; Metazoa; Chordata; Actinopteri; Cypriniformes; Cyprinidae
Exons: 3
Source: RefSeq, a predicted model, not a curated record